UACGUAGGGGGCAAGCGUUAUCCGGAAUUACUGGGUGUAAAGGGUGAGUAGGCGGCAUGGCAAGUUAGAUGUGAAAGCCCGGGGCUUAACUCCGGGAUUGCAUUUAAAACUGCUAAGCUUGAGUACAGGAGAGGUAAGCGGAAUUCCUAGUGUAGCGGUGAAAUGCGUAGAUAUUAGGAAGAACACCGGUGGCGAAGGCGGCUUACUGGACUGAAACUGACGCUGAGGCACGAAAGCGUGGGGAGCAAACAGGAUUAGAUACCCUGGUAGUCCCUGAG
This 278-nucleotide ribosomal RNA is filed under the name uncultured prokaryote. RNAcentral describes it as "partial 16S ribosomal RNA". It matches the Rfam family "Bacterial small subunit ribosomal RNA", at positions 524 to 801 of the family's 1533-position model. The record is from RNAcentral.